This 157-nucleotide unclassified non-coding RNA is filed under the name uncultured Basidiomycota. Its description in RNAcentral is "sequence contains ITS2". Lineage: Eukaryota; Fungi; Basidiomycota. The record is from RNAcentral.
UCUCUCAACCAAUAGAGUUUUCUAUUGGCUUGGAUCUGGGUGUUGCGAGCGAUCGCUCACCUUAAAGGAGUUAGCAUAUAGCAUGUCGUUUGGCGUAAUAAGUUUCGCUUAGUAAUUCGACACGGCUUUGCUUCUAAUCGUCUUUUGACUUUUUUGA